Molecule: ribosomal RNA, 1015 nt
Filed under: Corynebacterium sp. P4_F2
Lineage: Bacteria; Bacillati; Actinomycetota; Actinomycetes; Mycobacteriales; Corynebacteriaceae
Description: partial 23S ribosomal RNA
Rfam family: Bacterial large subunit ribosomal RNA
Source: RNAcentral
UGUUUGUUGUUCAAGGGCGCAUGGUGGAUGCCUUGGCAUGCUGAGCCGAUGAAGGACGUGUGAGACUGCGUUAAGCCUCGGGGAGUUGUCAACAAAGCGUUGAUCCGAGGGUGUCCGAAUGGGGAAACCUGGCCGUGGUUAUGUGCGGUUACCUGUUAGUGAAUGCAUAGCUGGCAGGGGGUGACGCCGGGAAGUGAAACAUCUCAGUACCGGCAGGAGAGGAAAAUAAUAAUGAUUCUGCUAGUAGCGGCGAGCGAACGUGGAUGAGGCUAAACCGUGUGCGUGUGAUACCUGGCAGGGGUUGCGUGUGCGGUGUUGUGGGGUGUAGCUGGUCGUGUUCUGCCAGAUACGUCUGCGUGGUGUGUGUGUAAGCGGAAGUGGUCUGGGAUGGCCCACCGGAGUAGGUGAGAGUCCUGUACGUGAAUGUGCAUGUGCCUGUGGUGGCUAUGUUUGCCCCGAGUAGCAGCGGGCUCGUGGAAUCUGCUGUGAAUCAGCCGGGACCACCCGGUAAGCCUAAAUACUCAGUGUGACCGAUAGUGGAUUUAGUACCGUGAGGGAAUGGUGAAAAGUACCCCGGGAGGGGAGUGAAAUAGUUCCUGAAACUGUGUGCCUACAAUCCGUCAGAGCACCUCAAAGUGUGUGAUGGCGUGCCUUUUGAAGAAUGAGCCUGCGAGUCAGCGGCAUGUCGCGAGGUUAACCCGUGUGGGGUAGUCGUAGCGAAAGCGAAUGCUAAUUGUGUGUUUUUAGUGGCAUGUCCUGGACCCGAAGCGGGGUGAUCUACCCAUGGCCAGUGUGAAGCAGCUGUAAGAGGUUGUGGAGGCGCGAACCCACGUAGGUUGAAAACUGCGGGGAUGAGCUGUGGGUAGGGGUGAAAGGCCAAUCAAACUCCGUGAUAGCUGGUUCUCCCCGAAAUGCAUUUAGGUGCAGCGUCGCGUAGGUGUGCCGGAGGUAGAGCUACUGGUUGGUUGAGCGGGACUAUCAUCUUAGCAAUGUCAGCCAAACUCCGAAUGCCGGU